CGGACGGGUGAGUAACGCGUGAGAAUCUGCCUUCCGGAUGGGGGCAACAGGGGGAAACCGCUGCUAAUCCCCAAUGUGCCGAAAGGUGAAACGGAAUUUCCGCCGGAAGAGGAGCUCGCGUCUGAUUAGCUAGUUGGUGGGGUAAGAGCUUACCAAGGCAGCGAUCAGUAGCUGGUCUGAGAGGACGAGCAGCCACACUGGGACUGAGACACGGCCCAGACUCCUACGGGAGGCAGCAGUGGGGAAUCUUCCGCAAUGGGCGCAAGCCUGACGGAGCUAUACCGCGUGAGGGAAGAAGGCUCUUGGGUCGUAAACCUCUUUUCUUGGGGAAGGAAGCUGACGGUACCCAAGGAAAAAGCCUCGGCCAACUCCGUGCCAGCAGCCGCGGUAAUACGGAGGAGGCAAGCGUUAUCCGGAAUUAUUGGGCGUAAAGCGUCCGCAGGUGGCCUCUCAAGUCUGCGGUGAAAGAGCGGGGCUUAACCCCGGAGGAGCCGUGGAAACUGAGAAGCUAGAGUGCGGUAGGGGUAGAGGGAAUUCCCAGUGUAGCGGUGAAAUGCGUAGAGAUUGGGAAGAACAUCGGUGGCGAAAGCGCUCUACUGGACCGCAACUGACACUCAGGGACGAAAGCUAGGGGAGCGAAAGGGAUUAGAUACCCCUGUAGUC
RNAcentral lists this ribosomal RNA (663 nucleotides) under uncultured cyanobacterium. Its description in RNAcentral is "bacterial SSU rRNA". It matches the Rfam family "Bacterial small subunit ribosomal RNA", at positions 99 to 795 of the family's 1533-position model. Lineage: Bacteria; Bacillati; Cyanobacteriota. The record is from RNAcentral.